RNAcentral lists this long non-coding RNA (226 nucleotides) under Homo sapiens (human). RNAcentral's name for it is "partial lncMGC". The record is from RNAcentral. Lineage: Eukaryota; Metazoa; Chordata; Mammalia; Primates; Hominidae.
AGUCUUUCCAAGUUGACAUGGCCUUCCUGGAGGAAUUACCACUUAGGGUAGAGGCACCCCUUCCCCCAUCAAUGCCACUGCCCCACAUUGGAGGAGGGGUUGUUUAUGUUCACCAUGUGCCUGCUUCCAAUGCCAAAUCCAGCCUCAGAAAGCUUUCUGGAAGUGACGCCAACUUCAGGGGCAAGGCCCUGGUUCUGGGGUCAGCACCAUUCCGUGGUUCCUGAAG